UGUCCCAUAGCUCAGUUGGUAGAGUAGCGGACUGUUAAUCCGUUCGUCCCUGGUUCGAGUCCAGGUGGGACAG
This 73-nucleotide transfer RNA is filed under the name Bacteroidota bacterium. RNAcentral's name for it is "tRNA-Asn". It matches the Rfam family "tRNA". From Rfam's summary of the family: Transfer RNA (tRNA) molecules are approximately 80 nucleotides in length. Their secondary structure includes four short double-helical elements and three loops (D, anti-codon, and T loops). Further hydrogen bonds mediate the characteristic L-shaped molecular structure. tRNAs have two regions of fundamental functional importance: the anti-codon, which is responsible for specific mRNA codon recognition, and the 3' end, to which the tRNAs corresponding amino acid is attached (by aminoacyl-tRNA synthetases). tRNAs cope with the degeneracy of the genetic code in two manners: having more than one tRNA (with a specific anti-codon) for a particular amino acid; and 'wobble' base-pairing, i.e. permitting non-standard base-pairing at the 3rd anti-codon position. Lineage: Bacteria; Pseudomonadati; Bacteroidota. The record is from RNAcentral.